RNAcentral lists this ribosomal RNA (494 nucleotides) under uncultured bacterium. RNAcentral's name for it is "bacterial SSU rRNA". It matches the Rfam family "Bacterial small subunit ribosomal RNA", at positions 903 to 1397 of the family's 1533-position model. The record is from RNAcentral.
AAAUGAAUAGACGGGGGCCCGCACAAGCGGAGGAACAUGUGGUUUAAUUCGAUGAUACGCGAGGAACCUUACCCGGGCUUGAAUUGCAGAGGAAUUUAUCAGAGAUGGUAGAGCCCUUCGGGGUCUCUGUGAAGGUGCUGCAUGGUUGUCGUCAGCUCGUGCCGUGAGGUGUCGGCUUAAGUGCCAUAACGAGCGCAACCCCUUUCCUUAGUUGCCAUCAGGUCAUGCUGGGCACUCUGGGGAUACUGCCACCGUAAGGUGUGAGGAAGGUGGGGAUGACGUCAAAUCAGCACGGCCCUUACGUCCGGGGCUACACACGUGUUACAAUGGCCGGUACAGAGAGACGGUUGCUUGCAAAAGUAAUCAAAUCCUUAAAACCGGUCCCAGUUCGGACUGGGGUCUGCAACUCGACCCCACGAAGCUGGAUUCGCUAGUAAUCGCGCAUCAGCCAUGGCGCGGUGAAUACGUUCCCGGGCCUUGUACACACCGCCCGU